RNAcentral lists this transfer RNA (115 nucleotides) under Drepanopeziza brunnea f. sp. 'multigermtubi' MB_m1. RNAcentral describes it as "Marssonina brunnea f. sp. 'multigermtubi' MB_m1 tRNA". It matches the Rfam family "tRNA". From Rfam's summary of the family: Transfer RNA (tRNA) molecules are approximately 80 nucleotides in length. Their secondary structure includes four short double-helical elements and three loops (D, anti-codon, and T loops). Further hydrogen bonds mediate the characteristic L-shaped molecular structure. tRNAs have two regions of fundamental functional importance: the anti-codon, which is responsible for specific mRNA codon recognition, and the 3' end, to which the tRNAs corresponding amino acid is attached (by aminoacyl-tRNA synthetases). tRNAs cope with the degeneracy of the genetic code in two manners: having more than one tRNA (with a specific anti-codon) for a particular amino acid; and 'wobble' base-pairing, i.e. permitting non-standard base-pairing at the 3rd anti-codon position. The record is from Rfam by way of RNAcentral. Lineage: Eukaryota; Fungi; Ascomycota; Leotiomycetes; Helotiales; Drepanopezizaceae.
GCCCGGCUAGCUCAAUGGUUAGAGCGUGUGGCUUUUACUAAGGAACUUAGCAAAAGGGAUGCAAAAUCCACGGAAAAAAACCUCAAGGCUCCGAGUUCGAGUCUCGGGUCGGGCU